GUCUCUGGAUGCCCCUGGGACGGUAGCACAGAGGAGCUUGCUCCUUGGGUGACGAGUGGCGGACGGGUGAGUAAUGUCUGGGGAUCUGCCCGAUAGAGGGGGAUAACCACUGGAAACGGUGGCUAAUACCGCAUAACGUCGCAAGACCAAAGAGGGGGACCUUCGGGCCUCUCACUAUCGGAUGAACCCAUAUGGGAUUAGCUAGUAGGCGGGGUAAUGGCCCACCUAGGCGACUAUCCCUAUCUGGUCUGAGAGGAUGACCAGCCACACUGGAACUGACACACGGUCCACACUCCUACGGGAGGCAGCAGUGGGGAAUAUUGCACAAUGGGCGCAAGCCUGAUGCACCCAUGCCGCGUGUAUGAAAAAGGCCUUCGGGUUGUAAAGUACUUUCAGCGGGGAGGAAGGCGACGGGGUUAAUAACCGUGUCGAUUGACGUUACCCGCAAAAAAAGCACCGGCUAACUCCGUGCCAGCCGCCGCGGUAAUUCCUCGUGACU
Molecule: ribosomal RNA, 499 nt
Filed under: Pantoea agglomerans
Lineage: Bacteria; Pseudomonadati; Pseudomonadota; Gammaproteobacteria; Enterobacterales; Erwiniaceae
Description: bacterial SSU rRNA
Rfam family: Bacterial small subunit ribosomal RNA
Source: RNAcentral